AGGGGAAACAACGAAAGAGAACAAGAUUUCCUAAUGUUGUGCACCAAUUAAGGACGAUAUACUACUACUCCGUUGAAAUGUAGAUAGAAAUUCAGAUUAAUUGAAACAAAAGAAAAAAGAGCGCGAAAGAGAGAGAUUGAGAUAUUGAGAGAAGGAAGAAAGUUGAAGAAAAUAUACCUCCGGUUGCAAGGUUAUUCUCGGUCUGAAGAACCGCGAUACUCUGCAUCUUGGACGCCAUCGUACCUUCUCUUCUAUCUAUCUCCCUGAGAUUAGCUUUCCUUUUUCAGUUCAGAAACUUCUACUGCGGAUUCCGUCUGUAAGUAGUAGAGAGCUACAUUAGAAGAUGUGGCUGGAAUUUGAUGAUGGGGAGGAGAGGGAAAGACAAGUAAAGAGGGGCAGCCAAACAAACGGCUUCCAGAGUCCAAAUCCCAGCUACCAAAGAAAUCACAAACCAGUCUCCUAAAAGCAAUGAAAAAAAUGCUUGCACAACAAAACACAAGAACCAUUAGCAUCAAACAAGUUUUUACAGAGGAGGAGAAAAACAUGAAUACAGAGCAACCUGAAGAGAAGACCCGACCUCACUGGAGAGAAAGAAGAAAGCACAAGAUCUGCAACCAACAGUGAAGAUGGCACGUCCUUGGGCGGUAACAAGCCCGUGGAUGAGAAAAAAAAGAGAAAACUGCACGUCAGUGGACAAGGGACAAAAGAAAUACGAACUUUAGCCAAAAAAAAAAAAACAAAAAAAACAAAAAGAGGGGCAGACCAGAGGUAACCCGAAGAGAAGAUCUGACCUCACCGGAGAUGAAGAAGAAAGCCUAUUACAACAAAACAAAGGAGGAGGUCAACAAAAUUUUGUACCAGGUUCCAGAGGAUGCGGAUAAGUGAUAGAGCAACAUUAUCCCAAAAAAAACCAAAAAAAGAAAGAAAGAGAAUGUAAUGGGAGAGAGAAUGCAGCGGGAAGAGAGCAAAUGCAGCAGAAGAUCAGAAAGACGGAAGCACGGGCACAUGGGACACUGGCAGGCGAGGCCAGAUGGGAAAACUAACGCGCGAUGCGCGAACAACAUGAUGAUUCCAAUCCACAUGCCGGGCACGUGAGAGGACGACGAAAAUUCUGGCUGAAUGGAGUUGCCAUGUUAUCUACUUAUGUUGACUAGGAGGCAAUAACGCGCUUCGCGCGAUAGUAAUGUAAAAUGCCCAUUCCAUUUCUGAAGUAAGAAAAAUAACAUUUCAUUUAGAAAUGUACAUUUUUUAGUAUAUAUAUACCAUGAGUCUGAAGGUUUGUUGAUAUUUCUUGGCUACAAACUUUCAUGGAAGUUGCUAAAUUUCUAAAUUUAAUGGAAGUGCUUUGGAACCUCCAAAGCCUGAAUUUCUAAAUUUUGCUAAACUUCCAAAGUCUGAAAUGCAAAUUUAAAUUUCUAAAUUUUUAAUAGGAACUUCCAAACUCUGAAGUUUUGUUAAUGCAAAUUUAAUGGAGCAUUUUUCUAAAUUUAAUAUAUACCAGCCAUUUGUUUUUUGUAACCAAAGGUAGGAUCAACUUUAUUGCUAAACAUCAAAGUUUAAUAAGUAAUGCCGUUGGAACAUCCAUUAUGAAAGCUUCAAUUGUUGUUUACAACAGUAGGAACUUGCUAAACAUUAAAUUUGCAGUGCUUUGGAAGCAUUUUUCUAACCAGAACUUUUUUCCAUUAAGAACAUAAAUACAACAAAUGCCGUGCAUUGCGUUGAAGCAGAAUCAACGUAAAUCAGAUGUGCCAUCAAAUGGAAAAUGCAAACUGCCAUAGAAACAACUUCUCUAUUCCUUUGCGGUCAAACACCAGCACAACAAAGGGAGUCUUGGAUUGUGGAAUAAAAAGCAAUAUCUGGCCAUUUUUUAGAUCAUGAUCAAUAACAAAACGGUUCCAGUUUUGAUCAAAACAUCUGCCGGUCAUACCAACAUGAUAAUAUUUAUGACUAUUUGUAAGAGUUAUAGUCGUCGUACUAUCUUCAUUUAGCCUUAGAUUCGCAAAUUCUGGUAGAUCCUAUAAAUGUAUGAAAAAAAAUUGUGAUAAGUAAAUACACAUAUGUACAAAAGAAAGAGAGUUAAUAAGGUUAGAGAAUGCAAAACUAUACCAGCUUGUACUUGUACUUUGAUAGAUAAAAUUGAUAGAAGCAAUUGAAUGUAGUCCAGUCAUGUUUUAGGAAUGGAUUCAUAGAUGAGACAAUACGAUGGAGAACUGAUUCUGAGAUUUCAUGAUCUGUUUAUAAAGUAACAAAAGAAACCAUAUCAGCCAUAAUAAAUACCGUCUAAGCAAAAAAUAUAUAUAUAAUGGUAGUAAUAAAUACCGGAUUCUAGGACCUCAUGAAUUGUCCUUAGUCCUUGUAAGGAAGUAAUGGUAGUAAAACAAUCCUUUCAUCACGGCUGUUGCUCUUGUCUUCUCAGCGAAUUUUCGUCUUUGGAGGCCAGAGAAGCUUGAAAUACACAAAGUGAAAUUCAAUAAGACAUUUCACACUAAAAAUGACAUUAGUUGUUUUGUAUAUAAGAAUGACAUUAAUUGUUUUGUAUAUAAGAAGUCAUUUUGUUUUAGACACAUUAACAAUUAUGAUAUACCCAACAUUUUUAUAGGUUAUUAUACCAACGUCAUAAAAAGAAAACCAAGACCUAAAUUGUGGAACUGAUUAUAAAUUAAUUACUGUGGAAAGUAUAUUUAAACUAUUAAUCUAAUCUAGGAUGAACACAAAAAAAUGAAUAAGUAAUGUGCAAAAAAAAGGUGGUCAAAGAAUUUAACUUAUUUCAGAAAUAAUGAACCAAAUAAAGAAUCAAUCUUAGGAAAGCUGUAUGGUCUCGUCUUACAUUAAUUUCAACUUUGUUCUCUAUAUGAUUUCUUGAUUCUUUACCCCAAAGUCUUUUUCUCCCAUCAAGAAUGCUUCAGAAAUUAUAUGAUCAAUACAUACCUAGCUAUUACAGAAUGGCAACAAACUGAAAUGGCAACAACCUAGCUAUUACAGAAUUUCUGUGCUUGAGUCCUCUAACAACUAUAACUACAUAAUACACAUUAACUAAAAAACAUCCAAUGAAACUGCACUCAUAAUCAAACGACAAUGCCUAACAUAGGACAGCAGAUUCCUUCCUCUUUACUGCUUGGCCACAUGAGCAGUCAGUUCAGAAUUCUGCAGCAAAAAAUUAGAAGCAUUCAAAAUCAUUCAAAAUAACCAAUGAAUUCCUAGUCUGCACACACUAUUUAUUCAGUCAAAAGCAUUCAAAAUCAUUCAAGAAGAAUAAGUGUAAUCAUUCAAAACAGCACUCACACAAGUAACUUAUGAAGAUGCCUUUAUACACAACACACCGAAGCAAAAGUAACAUCUCGCAGAAAGAACCAAACACAGAAGAACAUCAUUUACAGGAUAUAAAACAGCAUUUGUCAAAGUCUGAAACAAAAAGAAGUCUCUAAUACAAUUCAUCUUGCUUUAGCAUUCCAAUUGAUCACUUUCAGAAAAAUGAGCUAAAGUAAUAAAUUUCCACGAACAAUAGAAUAAGUUAGUAUAACAAAGAAAUCAUAAUCUCAAAUUCAGAGGCAAAAAACAAAAAAAAAAAAAAAGAACCCUUGUUUUGACAAAUAUAACAAGUAUGAUAAAAAACUGACAAAUGUUGUCAUGGAGCGGAAGACAUUUCAAAUUCAAUUAAGGAAAAAUAACUGGUACAGCCUUUUUUUAUUGUUUCCAUCCCACACAUCAACAUAACCAUCACAACCUCAAGUAGCAAAUGUACCAUAGCUACAAAUCAAAAUCAGUUUUGAGACAGAUUUUGGCAAAAAGCUCAAGGUAUUCAAUCAAUAGAUAAUUGUAAUAGAUCCAACUCAAUCACUCAAUAUAUCUAGAGUUGAUAAAUCAAGCACAUAGGCUUAUAAAUCAUUCAUGGAUACAUUGACAUUAUAAAUCAUUCUCUUUUGUUUGUUCCAUUCCAACUCAAUCAUUGACAUAGCUACCUUAAGAAUACAUGGAUCGGCUCCACUUAUCAAGUUCAAAAAAACAGAUGUUUCCUAAAGACGCAUAGUUAUGAUGAGAAGCUUGAAGGUCGUGAUUGCCUGGGGAAUAUCUAGAGUUGAAAAUUGGAAAUCAGGAAAGAUAAAUUCAGGUUCGAUCGCUUAUUCGUAAGCUGUUAAAGUUUUGAACUGUCCCCAUAAUUGAUUGUUUUUGCCUUGUUUCUGCAAUUAUCUCUCAUAUUUGUUUACAGUAAGCACCAUCACAUCAAGUAAAGAACACUUCUCUUGCACCCUAUAUCAAUCUAACAUGAUUCCAUCUGGUACUGAGACUACCAAAACCCAAGCUCGUAGCCCAAAGAACCUACAACACUUUGUUCACCAUAGCUGAAGACAUACUUGGAACAACUAAGGUACCAUAUACUUUCUUUUUUUUUUCAGUGCAUAGGCAGACACAAACAUAUAUAGUUAUAAUAAAUCACACACACCUCAAACAAAAAAGAAAUGAAUUCUUUCAUAUCUUGAUAAACACUUCAAAUGUAUACUAAUCCUAUGAACAACCAAGUAAAAUGACAUUGAUAUGGUAUGAAGAGACAUACACAUCAGCUUGCAUGUACACUUCAGAACCAAGAUUGAUCAAUGUCCUCAGACUGGUUACACUAUUUUCUCCAAUGUCUCUAUAUUUCUUUUCCAAUCAGAGCUACAAGAAGUUAAGAGAAAAAAAAAGUAAAGAAGCAUUGCAGGUCAAAGGGAACUUGUGCAAAGAAAUAGGAGUCAGAGCAAUAAAGGUGAGUAGUAUCAAUACCCAAAUGCAAGAAAACUUAGAAGGAUACAAAACUUUCUGUUGUUCAAAUACCUCGUUCCUGCAAAAGAGAUACCCAGAAUAUUAGAAAUUUGGCAUAUAACAGAAAUUCCGUCUCCAAAUUCGCAACUUAAUAGUGAAAUAUUAAACAUAAAGUAGGUAAGUACUCCAACUCAUAUAAUCCCACUACUGAUGGUAAUAAGCUCAAUAAAGUGGUAACAGGGGAUGGUUCUCCAAAUAACAACUGUAAGCGGGUGAGUUCAGUAUGAGGCAACCAACGGAUUCCCACCCACACCUCCCCGUCUCAAGAAAAUAGAAAAGGGCAAAAAAGGGCGAAAAAAAAUAGAAGGAAAAGAAAAAAGAAAGAAAAGGAAAUGAAUAUUGGCAAUAUGGGAGUCAAAUGAAGCAAAGUCUAAUCUAUUUAUACACAAAAAAGGAUCACUCUCUUCCAGUUUCAGAUCGUUAGUUUUCACUACUACAGGAAGUUCAGCUACCGCCCGCUAGAAGCAAAAAAAAAAAAAUUUUAAAGACAUCGAGUGAGAGAAUUGGGCUCCAAAACACCCUUCCGUACAAUGAUACAAAGAUGGAAAAAGGACAAAAGAAAAUGAAGAAAGUUACGGGUAAUAACCAGAAAUUAGCUAAUUCAAAGUCCUCCCAAACUGUUCAAUAUAUUUCUUAUCUGCAUUGGCUAGGCGAUCUUGAAACUGCACCCACUCACUUCUGCACCUCUCUCUUACCUACCAAAUUAGAUAGAAAAGAAUUCAAGCUAGUUACUUGACGUUUGGACAAAUCUAAUGAAAUUCAGUUCAAUGCAAAAUCAUGCAAUUCAAACAGAGUGCAGAUAUAAGACCUAUGAAUCCUAAUUUAAACAUGAUUGUUAGAAUGUAGGUGAUAUAGAAUAACUCAGAUUACCAUAAAAUUGGAUGAAGAAGCUUUCAGAGUUGACUUUUGCAAAAAAAACGAAGGACAAAGAAAAGGCCUCAAUAAAAAAAUAUACAGAAAGGUUGAAAUGGAAACCGAACAAGUAACAGCUUACAUACCCCUUGCCAAGGAGCUUUUCCAUUUUCAGAUUGACCCUGGAAUCAACGAAGCUGAAGCUGUUAGCAUCAUUAUCAACAAAACAAAUCUAAAUGAGGGGAAACCAGAUCAAGGGACAAGUAGGAUAAUUGACGUGGAAGAAAAAAAUGUAAAUAAGGGGGUUGCUGCUAAAAAGUUGCUUAUUUUAUAAAUGAAGAACCAUUUGCUCAAAAAUGGAAAUUAAAGUUGAACAGAACAACAUUUGCAAACAACUAAACUUCAUUAUUUUAAUCACCUCUAGGAAAAGGAAAAGCAAGUCCCGAUGGUUGUAAUAAAGUAGUUAACUGACCUGACUUCCCAGAGAAGGAAUAACUUGAUGAACUAUCCACUGAGAGUCAACCACAUCAAUUUUCUCAUGUGCAGGCUACACAGGCAAAAUACACUUACAAUGAAACUGAUAAUACGCAGACAUCCAUUUGAAAUACAUACAUGUUUUCCAAUUUUAUCUGUUUUACAUGCCACUGUCCCGCAGAUCUCUCCUUCCAACAGGAAUAUGAAAAGCAGGUAGACAAGCCUUCUUUUCUAAAUCUUUCAAAUAAUACAGUGAUAAGAAACAAAUAAAACCACUGACCUCCACACAUCUCCUUAGUGCAAAAUCCAAUCCCCAACCAUGCACCAAAUCAUUCUAGAAAUGUUAUUGAAAGUAAAAAAUCAGCGUGAGCUCUAAGCUGGAAAGAACCAAGGCUAAUGAGAGCAGCUAAAAGCAAAAAUAGUUGGAGGUACAACAAGGCUUAAAACAUACGUAUACAAAUGACAAAGUUAGAGAAGGGAACCUGAAUCAUAUGCCAAACACAUCGCCAAGCAUCCCGCGAGAAAACAGGAGCCACAAUUUCCACAAAGCUGAAUUCAAAAAGGAAAAACACAAGGAAAAUUAGUUGAAGGUAAAUGUUGAAGCCACCCCAAUCCUUUAUACUUUUCUUAACUAUAUAUCUCCAUUUUAAGGGCCUGAGCAUAAAUCAUGGGUCAUAACUCAACCUACAAACACUACCAUAAAAUCAAAUUUUUCAACAAUAAGACGUGAUAUUGCUAUGAGAUGUCUUGUAGCUAAGCUCUUCUUUUUGGCAAUGGUCAACCUGAUGAAGAAAUAUGACCAUCAGAGAAAGUGAGCUUCUUGUUUCUGGCAAUUUCAACUUUCAAGCCAUGUAAAUAAACAAUAGUUUCCCAAGACAACAUUUUUGUUGUUUUUCAGUUUAAUAUUAUUAUUUUCUUGGGUUAAAGAGAUUGACCUUCGGAAAACCAAACAAUCAAUCUCUGGAAAAUUUAAAUCUUUGGAAAACCAAACAAUCACUCGGAAGAGAAAAAAACAAAUCCUUUUCAGGUUUGGAUUAUAAGAAAAUAAAAACAAGAAAAACAAACUGCAUGGCUCCCAAAUUGCCAUUCAGUCAAUCAAAAGAACAAUGUAUCAGUUCAAAACUACAAAAUUCAAUCUAUUAUGAUAAGUGAACCCUGCUCAAUUACAAUACAAUCUCAUCUCAUACUACCUGGGGUCAGUAACUUGCUAUCAUCUUCUUUCCCGCAGGUGUCUCUAAUAUCAGAAAAUAAUGUUUCUUCCAUUUAUCUCCUUUUUGAAUGCGAAGAAUUAGCAUAAAAGUCCUUAAAAAGUUAUUCAUAAAGAGGUUAACAUAUUUAGUUAACUCUACACUCAUGACUGUAAGCGUUGGUAGAUUUAUUAGUUUCAGAUACUAAAUGAUCCUCAGAUAUCCAUUAAAUAUAGAAGAGAUAAAAAUUCAGACAAAGCCAGCAAUUCUAAAGCCCAAACUGCUAGCCGAAAAAUCGUGGAAUUUUACACAAAUUAUACCAAAACCUCCAAUUCUCUUAGCUAAAUAUAAUAAAUUACCAAAAUUUACGAAACCCACAAUGGGUAUUAGGGCAAAAUAAUUCCCAAGGUCGGUUUUUUUCUUGAAGUGGUUCGAUUAUUAAAGAGGGGAAACAACGAAAGAGAACAAGAUUUCCUAAUGUUGUGCACCAAUUAAGGACGAUAUACUACUACUCCGUUGAAAUGUAGAUAGAAAUUCAGAUUAAUUGAAACAAAAGAAAAAAGAGCGCGAAAGAGAGAGAUUGAGAUAUUGAGAGAAGGAAGAAAGUUGAAGAAAAUAUACCUCCGGUUGCAAGGUUAUUCUCGGUCUGAAGAACCGCGAUACUCUGCAUCUUGGACGCCAUCGUACCUUCUCUUCUAUCUAUCUCCCUGAGAUUAGCUUUCCUUUUUCAGUUCAGAAACUUCUACUGCGGAUUCCGUCUGUAAGUAGUAGAGAGCUACAUUAGAAGAUGUGGCUGGAAUUUGAUGAUGGGGAGGAGAGGGAAAGACAAGUAAAGAGGGGCAGCCAAACAAACGGCUUCCAGAGUCCAAAUCCCAGCUACCAAAGAAAUCACAAACCAGUCUCCUAAAAGCAAUGAAAAAAAUGCUUGCACAACAAAACACAAGAACCAUUAGCAUCAAACAAGUUUUUACAGAGGAGGAGAAAAACAUGAAUACAGAGCAACCUGAAGAGAAGACCCGACCUCACUGGAGAGAAAGAAGAAAGCACAAGAUCUGCAACCAACAGUGAAGAUGGCACGUCCUUGGGCGGUAACAAGCCCGUGGAUGAGAAAAAAAAGAGAAAACUGCACGUCAGUGGACAAGGGACAAAAGAAAUACGAACUUUAGCCAAAAAAAAAAAAACAAAAAAAACAAAAAGAGGGGCAGACCAGAGGUAACCCGAAGAGAAGAUCUGACCUCACCGGAGAUGAAGAAGAAAGCCUAUUACAACAAAACAAAGGAGGAGGUCAACAAAAUUUUGUACCAGGUUCCAGAGGAUGCGGAUAAGUGAUAGAGCAACAUUAUCCCAAAAAAAACCAAAAAAAGAAAGAAAGAGAAUGUAAUGGGAGAGAGAAUGCAGCGGGAAGAGAGCAAAUGCAGCAGAAGAUCAGAAAGACGGAAGCACGGGCACAUGGGACACUGGCAGGCGAGGCC
RNAcentral lists this long non-coding RNA (8782 nucleotides) under Coffea arabica (coffee). RNAcentral's name for it is "long non-coding RNA (CARA_LNC003590)". Lineage: Eukaryota; Viridiplantae; Streptophyta; Magnoliopsida; Gentianales; Rubiaceae. The record is from RNAcentral.